RNAcentral lists this ribosomal RNA (422 nucleotides) under uncultured eukaryote. RNAcentral's name for it is "SSU rRNA". It matches the Rfam family "Eukaryotic small subunit ribosomal RNA", at positions 592 to 1017 of the family's 1831-position model. The record is from RNAcentral.
CAAUAGCGUAUAUUAAAGUUGUUGCGGUUAAAAAGCUCGUAGUUGGAGUUCUGCCAGGUGCCGUCUGUCCGCCCCAGUGGUGAGUACGUGACGCGCAUUUGGCCCUUUCAAGGGGAGCGUAUCUGCACUUUACUGUGUGGUGCGGGAUCCUUGACUUUUACUUUGAGGAAAUAGGAGUGUUCCAAGCAGGCUCUCGUCGUGCACAGCUCAGCAUGGAAUAAUAGCAUUGGACCUCGAUUCUAAGCUGUUGGUUGCCAGAAGCGAGGUAAUGAUGAAGAGGGAUAGUUGGGGGGCAUUCGUAUUUAACUGUCAGAGGUGAAAUUCUUGGAUUUAUGAAAGACGAACUUCUGCGAAAGCAUUUGCCAAGGAUGUUUUCAUUAAUCAAGAACGAAAGUUGGGGGCUCGAAGAUGAUCAGAUACCG